Molecule: ribosomal RNA, 248 nt
Filed under: uncultured Syntrophaceae bacterium
Lineage: Bacteria; Pseudomonadati; Thermodesulfobacteriota; Syntrophia; Syntrophales; Syntrophaceae
Description: partial 16S ribosomal RNA
Rfam family: Bacterial small subunit ribosomal RNA
Source: RNAcentral
ACUCUAGAGGGACGUGCCGGUGGUCAAACCGGAGGAAGGUGGGGAUGACGUCAAGUCCUCAUGGCCUUUAUGCCCAGGGCUACACACGUGCUACAAUGGGCGGUACAAAGAGCAGCGAGCUCGCGAGAGUAAGCAAAUCUCAAAAAGCCGUCCUCAGUUCGGAUUGGAGUCUGCAACUCGACUCCAUGAAGCUGGAAUCGCUAGUAAUCGCGGAUCAGCAUGCCGCGGUGAAUACGUUCCCGGGCCUU